CGCAGCUGGCCAGUGGUGGCUUUGCGGGCAGGCAAGGGAGCUGUCCUCUCGGGCUCCAACUAGGCCGGGUGGUCGCGGGGAGCGUCCCCGCCCCGCUCCCUUCGCUCCCGCCUCUCGCGGCUCUGGUGCUCCUUAGCGCCCGCCCCCGACUCCGCCCGCCGCCGCCGCCGCCGCCGCAGCCCCUCGCGCUAACUAACGGUCGGUAGCGGCCCGCGCGCGCCGCCCGCCGGGGGCUCGCGCCAGCCACGAGGGAGCGUCCGCGGCCCGCGCGCCCGCGCGGCGGAGGCGAGAAUCCGCAGUUCAUAAUGGAGCUAACUGUACUGGCUGUCGGAAGGAGGAGAUUCUGAAGAUAGGGAGAUUCAGCUGUCGGUCUUUGAAAUUUCCUGUGGUCUGUUCAACCUGGAUGCAAAGGACAUGGAGCAGUCAAGUACGCAAGAGGUCCAAGCGUGUUUUGGGUGUUCCCCUUGAUAGACUGCGGUAUUUUUCCGGUUAAGACCUUCAGCUGUCAUGCAGAAGAAGGUUAUUCUCUUCUUGGUCCAUCCAUUUUACUUGAAAUGCUUAGUAUUGUAGAGUAUCACCAAACAGUUUCUGUUUUCAUCCGAGCAUAGAGAGAAUAAAAUCAAUUCUGUACGUUGA
Panthera uncia (snow leopard) is the source of this 636-nucleotide long non-coding RNA. RefSeq lists it as uncharacterized. The transcript has 3 exons. The record is from RefSeq and is a predicted model, not a curated record. NCBI's taxonomy places the organism in Eukaryota, Metazoa, Chordata, Mammalia, Carnivora, Felidae.